This 1974-nucleotide long non-coding RNA is filed under the name Equus caballus (horse). RNAcentral's name for it is "lncRNA (ENSECAG00000046750.1)". The record is from RNAcentral. Lineage: Eukaryota; Metazoa; Chordata; Mammalia; Perissodactyla; Equidae.
GAGUAAGAGAGGGCCAGGUGAAUAGAGUGUGGUUUAUGACCAAAAUAUCAGGACACAAAUCAAAGAUUACUAACCAAGUAUUUGAAAUCAGACCAUCUUAAAGAAGGCUUGUAUUAUCACUAAACAAACAAAUUGAAAAGAGUCAUCAUGGAAAACUUCAAGUAGGAGAAAGGUCUUGAAUUUGCCCUUGGAUGUGUCUAUGAGGAGAGCAACCCGGGCUGUGAGAGCGGCUUAGCGGUAGGAAUGAGGAGGCUAGGGGUCAGGAUGACGUGCAGAUUGCCCGGCUGAGGGAGGAUGUGUGCCAGGAGUGGAGGGGAAGAGGAUUUGGGGAUGGGCCCACUGGGAUACUGAAAACCCGGCAGGAUGUUUGCACUCAGGGCAGUAGGGAGCCAAAGAAUGAAAUAGGGUGAGAAAUUUAAAAGAGCAGUUUGAGUUCCUUCACUAAACAUUUCUUGAGCACAGACAUGCACAAGAUGCUGAGGAUCGCGGUACCCUCAAGGAUUUACAAACGAGUGGGUGAGAAGGGCAGGGAAAGAGCAUUAUGACUUCAUGUGAUGAGUCCUGGAGAGAGCACAGGGUGUGCACAGUGCAGAGGUGGGUGCGGGCGUCGGCCCACUCCAGGUCGGGGUUGGUGUAACGUCAUGGAAGGCCUUCAGGUGAAGCAAUAUCUGAGCUGAGUUUUGAAAGACAGGCAUGUGAGAUGUGGGGGAUAGGCUGCCAGCAAAGCCAUCAGCGCUUGCAAAGUGACCUGAGGGCGUGGGAAGAUGACAGGGGCUGGAGUACAGGACUCUGGAGGCGAGCUGAGCGAUAGAAUGGGAUGAAACGUAUGAAGCAGCUGUUUCAGGCCCUGGAUUCGCUCCAGACAGUGCGGGACUGUGAUCCCUGCAGAGCAGAGAAACACUAAGGGAAGGAGAGACAGACAGGGAAGGAGAGAUGGAGAAGAAAGGGUCGUAGCGGGGCUGAUGGCCAACUGGUAAACACCAGUGUGGCCACAGUGAUUUUCUAAAUAUCACAGUGUUUCCACACUAAUUGGUGAGUAGCUGCUGCCCUCAGCCUCUUUCCACCCCCAGUGUUCUUCCACUGCCCUCCUUGGGCCUGCUGGCCCCAACCAGCCACUAAAGGGGUCACACCUGGUCCAGCGGACCCUCAGGAGUCCUUCCAGGGCCUUCUGUUUGGGCAGCAUGGGGAUUAAGUGUCUGCAUGUGACCCCUGAGGAGAGGGACUCCCUAGUGGGUGUAGAGCAGAGGCAGAGUCAGGCAACUCUGUUUCAUACAUUCAAGGCUCCCCAGCACCUCAGGUCCGAGUCCCUCCCAUGUUUGCUCUUCACUGCCACCCAGAGCCAGGUGCACGAGGUCUGGCCUGUCCCUACCAUCUCUUCUUUCCUGGUGGCCUUCUCUCCACACAUCCUGCUCGGCACUGUCAGCUCCAGGGCACAGCCUAACGUGACUGUGGCGUUCGGAAUUUGGGGGAAUUUCAUCAACUCUAAGAUAUCGCUGACUGUGAGGUUCAUCAUUUUAUGUACCAGGAGGAAAGAAAAAACCUGCCAACUAAACUGUGACACCUGAUAGUGCUGUGCCGUCAUGAAUCAGUCACACCGGCCUCUUGUGGCCCUGAAAUUUCUUUCAUCUAUCCUGAAGGAUUUGGCAAUUUCUCCUGCCUCUGGCUGCCAGGAUAGGCAAUCCUGCCCAUUUCUCCAUAAUAAAAUGUAAUGCAGAUUCAUCUCCCUGUGGGUACGGUUCUUGCUAAAAAUAUGUAACUGUGGUCAUUCGUCCUAAGAGGAAUAUUUGCAUCUUUAAUACCAAAUUCACAUUCCACUGUUGUUUCCAUUUUCUGCUGUAGUUUCCAUUCAAGCUUUUCAUGUCAAUGUUGAAUCAUAAUGUAAUCAUUCUGGAGACAUUUUGAAUGGUGAUUAAAGCAUGUAAACUAUCAACAGUGCGUUGUAACUCAAUUAAGGGGAUGAUAAUUCGAGCAGCU